This is a long non-coding RNA of Schistocerca serialis cubense, 438 nucleotides long. RefSeq lists it as uncharacterized. The transcript has 3 exons. The record is from RefSeq and is a predicted model, not a curated record. Lineage: Eukaryota; Metazoa; Arthropoda; Insecta; Orthoptera; Acrididae.
CCCUCCGCCACUGUUAUUUCUGCUACUUCCGCGAUUUCUGCGACUUCUGCUACUUCUGCGACGUACUACCGUAUGAAAAAGUUACAUCUGUCCACACAGAAAAUUGCAUCUCAACAAACCUGUCAUUGGUACCUGAACUACAUUUCAGUCACUCAGUAAAGUGAUAAUUCAAAAUAUCAUUGUCAACAGAGCUGAAGAAAUUGCCAGUCUUUAGACCGUUUUCGUCAGACGAGAGACGCGGUUCUGACUGAUUACUGGUUGCUGUACAUAUCUAUCCACAUCAAGGCUGUUGAGAGAGACUCGUGAAGAUUCAAGACAGCUCUUAGAGGAUUUGCAGUUUAAAAGUGAAAUAAUUAUGAAAUAAGUGUGUGACUGAUUAAAGUGUUUUAUUGAAGUUGUUGUGCGAUUUAAAGGAAUAAUAAAUGUUAAAUACAUUGA